CUUUGAAUUGGUUCUGAUGCCUGGAAUCUCCUGGCACUGUCUCUCCAUACAAUGUUAAACCAUUUUAGAGCAGUUUAACACUAAAUAAGGGAUCAAGGCCACCCAUAGUCCGGCCUCUUCUCGAGGUGUGGCCAAGGCAGAGAUUACACACUUCCUUGAAGUCAUAACCUUCAUACCGUUAGUUGGAGCUCUGAUAGGCUAAAAACAGACAGCUGACACUUUCAGCCAAUCAUAGCUGCCCAUUGCUGCUCAUGCUAGUACUUCCUCAUUCGCCGAAGCAGCACAGAGGGGAGGGGCUGCUGGGGACUCUAAUUUAGCAUUAAAACAAAAAAAUAUGAAAAACUGUUUAAUGCUGAAUGAAAUUAUGGAACUUGGAAACUCUGGACACUAUAAUCAGUUUAAUGAAAUGAAG
Molecule: non-coding RNA, 412 nt
Organism: Pelobates cultripes (western spadefoot toad)
Lineage: Eukaryota; Metazoa; Chordata; Amphibia; Anura; Pelobatidae
Source: the annotation of a GenBank genome assembly